RNAcentral lists this ribosomal RNA (460 nucleotides) under uncultured bacterium. Its description in RNAcentral is "partial 16S ribosomal RNA". It matches the Rfam family "Bacterial small subunit ribosomal RNA", at positions 338 to 795 of the family's 1533-position model. The record is from RNAcentral.
CCUACGGGAGGCAGCAGUGAGGAAUAUUGGUCAAUGGGCGCGAGCCUGAACCAGCCAAGUAGCGUGAUGGAUGACGGCCCUACGGGUUGUAAACUUCUUUUAUACGGGAAUAAAGUGAUGCACGUGUGCCAUUUUGCAUGUACUUUAUGAAUAAGAGUCGGCUAACUCCGUGCCAGCAGCCGCGGUAAUACGGAGGAUCCGGGCGUUAUCCGGAUUUAAUGGGUUUAAAGGGAGCGUAGGUGGGUUGUUAAGUCAGUUGUGAAAGUUUGCGGAUCAACCGUAAAAUUGCAGUUGAUACUGGCAGUCUUGAGUACAGGAGAGGUAGGCGGAAUUCGUGGUGUAGCGGUGAAAUGCGUAGAUAUCACGAAGAACGCCGAUUGCGAAGGCAGCUUACUGGACUGCAACUGACACUGAGGCUCGAAAGUGUGGGUAUCAAACAGGAUUAGAUACCCGUGUAGUC